GAUGAACGCUAGCGGCAGGCCUAACACAUGCAAGUCGAGGGGGAAGUUACUUUCGGGUGACUGAGACCGGCGUCCGGGUGCGUAACGCGUAUACAAUCUGCCUUUCACUGGGGGAUAGCCCGAAGAAAUUUGGAUUAAUACCCCAUAGUAUAUAGGGACGGCAUCGUUUUUAUAUUAAAGCUUAGGUGGUGAAAGAUGAGUAUGCGUUCUAUUAGCUAGUUGGAGAGGUAACGGCUCCCCAAGGCGAUGAUAGAUAGGGGUUCUGAGAGGGAUGUCCCCCACACUGGUACUGAGAUACGGACCAGACUCCUACGGGAGGCAGCAGUGAGGAAGAUUGGACAAUGGUCGGAAGACUGAUCCAGCCAUGCCGCGUGCAGGAGGAAGGUCUUAUGGAUUGUAAACUGCUUUUGUAAGGGAAGAAUAAGGGCUACGCGUAGUUUGAUGACGGUACCUUACGAAUAAGCAGCGGCUAACUCCGUG
RNAcentral lists this ribosomal RNA (480 nucleotides) under uncultured bacterium. RNAcentral describes it as "partial 16S ribosomal RNA". It matches the Rfam family "Bacterial small subunit ribosomal RNA", at positions 28 to 507 of the family's 1533-position model. The record is from RNAcentral.